This 739-nucleotide ribosomal RNA is filed under the name Phormidium sp. LS803. RNAcentral's name for it is "bacterial SSU rRNA". It matches the Rfam family "Bacterial small subunit ribosomal RNA", at positions 28 to 810 of the family's 1533-position model. Lineage: Bacteria; Bacillati; Cyanobacteriota; Cyanophyceae; Oscillatoriales; Oscillatoriaceae. The record is from RNAcentral.
GAUGAACGCUGGCGGUUUGCUUAACACCAUGCAAGUCGAACGGGUACUUCGGUACUAGUGGCGGACGGGUGAGUAACGCGUGAGAAUCUAGCUUCAGAAUGGGGACAACAGAGGGAAACCGCUGCUAAUACCCGAUGUGCCGAAAGGUGAAAGAUUUAUCGUCUGAAGAUGAGCUCGCGUCCGAUUAGCUAGUUGGUAGGGUAAAAGCCUACCAAGGCGACGAUCGGUAGCUGGUCUGAGAGGAUGACCAGCCGCACUGGGACUGAGACACGGCCCAGACUCCUACGGGAGGCAGCAGUGGGGAAUUUUCCGCAAUGGGCGAAAGCCUGACGGAGCAAGACCGCGUGAGGGAGGAAGGCUCUUGGGUUGUAAACCUCUUUUCUCUGGGAAGAAGCUCUGACGGUACCAGAGGAAUCAGCAUCGGCUAACUCCGUGCCAGCAGCCGCGGUAAUACGGAGGAUGCAAGCGUUAUCCGGAAUUAUUGGGCGUAAAGCGUCCGUAGGUGGCAAUUCAAGUCUGCCGUUAAAACCAGUGGCUUAACUACUGAGGGGCGGUGGAAACUGAAUAGCUAGAGUGUGGUAGGGGUAGAGGGAAUUCCCAGUGUAGCGGUGAAAUGCGUAGAGAUUGGGAAGAACACCGGUGGCGAAAGCGCUCUGCUGGACCACAACUGACACUCACAGGACGAAAGCUAGGGGAGCGAAAGGGAUUAGAUACCCCUGUAGUCCUAGCCGUAAACGAU